ACUCCGGUUGAUCCUGCCGGACCCGACUGCUAUCGGGGUGGGACUAAGUCAUGGGAGUCGAACGACCCGCCGCUGCGGGGAGUGGCGGACGGCUGAGUAACACGUGGCUAACCUACCCUCGGGACGGGGAUAACCCCGGGAAACUGGGGCUAAUCCCCGACAGGCGAGGAGGCCUGGAAUGGUUCCUCGCCGAGAGGGGGCGCCGGGGGUUAU
This 213-nucleotide ribosomal RNA is filed under the name Desulfurococcales archaeon. RNAcentral's name for it is "partial 16S ribosomal RNA". It matches the Rfam family "Archaeal small subunit ribosomal RNA", at positions 1 to 212 of the family's 1478-position model. Lineage: Archaea; Thermoproteati; Thermoproteota; Thermoprotei; Desulfurococcales. The record is from RNAcentral.